Small nuclear RNA from Mastomys coucha (southern multimammate mouse), 107 nucleotides. The record is from RefSeq and is a predicted model, not a curated record. Lineage: Eukaryota; Metazoa; Chordata; Mammalia; Rodentia; Muridae.
GUACUCUCUCUGGCACCACAUAUACCGAAAUGAGAACAAUAUAGAGAAGAUUAGCAUGACCCCUGUGCAAGGAUGACACGAAAAUUUGUGAAGCAUUCUAUACUAAA